RNAcentral lists this ribosomal RNA (570 nucleotides) under uncultured fungus. RNAcentral describes it as "eukaryotic LSU rRNA". The stretch from base 208 to 361 matches the Rfam family "5.8S ribosomal RNA". The record is from RNAcentral. Lineage: Eukaryota; Fungi.
CGUAACAAGGUCUCCGUAGGUGAACCUGCGGAGGGAUCAUUACACAAAUAUGAAGGCGGGCUGGAACCUCUCGGGGUUACAGCCUUGCUGAAUUAUUCACCCUUGUCUUUUGCGUACUUCUUGUUUCCUUGGUGGGUUCGCCCACCACUAGGACAAACAUAAACCUUUUGUAAUUGCAAUCAGCGUCAGUAACAAAUUAAUAAUUACAACUUUCAACAACGGAUCUCUUGGUUCCGGCAUCGAUGAAGAACGCAGCGAAAUGCGAUAAGUAGUGUGAAUUGCAGAAUUCAGUGAAUCAUCGAAUCUUUGAACGCACAUUGCGCCCUUUGGUAUUCCAAAGGGCAUGCCUGUUCGAGUGUCAUUUGUACCCUCAAGCUUUGCUUGGUGUUGGGCGUCUUGUCUCUAGCUUUGCUGGAGACUCGCCUUAAAGUAAUUGGCAGCCGGCCUACUGGUUUCGGAGCGCAGCACAAGUCGCACUCUCUAUCAGCAAAGGUCUAGCAUCCAUUAAGCCUUUUUUUCAACUUUUGACCUCGGAUCAGGUAGGGAUACCCGCUGAACUUAAGCAUAUCA